CGCGUAAACGCCACCGACGCUACUACGCGCCACGCUGUCUCCCUCAGCUCGCCGUCUCGCGCUAAAUACAGCUGUUCACCGGACUCCCUCUGAAAAACAGUAUAUGUAACGCGAGUGUCAAGUGAGUUGUGGAUAACAUUGCAGCAUAUGCAUUUUGGUAAGUACACUGCUUGUUUACAAUUAUACAUUAUCUUAUUACUAUUGAAUACAAACCUACGCAUAUAACUGUACGGCGGCAGGCACCCCAUGUCACAUGUAUAGUUGUGGAUAACAUUGCAGCAUAUGCAUUUUGGUAAGUACACUGCUUGUUUACAAUUAUACAUUAUCUUAUUACUAUUGAAUACAAACCUACGCAUAUAACUGUACGGCGGCAGGCACCCCAUGUCACAUGUAUAGUUGUGGAUAACAUUGCAGCAUAUGCAUUUUGGUAAGUACACUGCUUGUUUACAAUUAUACAUUAUCUUAUUACUAGUGAAUACAAACCUACGCAUAUAACUGUACGGCGGCAGGCACCCCAUGUCACAUGUAUAGUUGUGGAUAACAUUGCAGCAUAUGCAUUUUGGUAAGUACACUGCUUGUUUACAAUUAUACAUUAUCUUAUU
Molecule: long non-coding RNA, 602 nt
Organism: Homalodisca vitripennis (glassy-winged sharpshooter)
Lineage: Eukaryota; Metazoa; Arthropoda; Insecta; Hemiptera; Cicadellidae
Exons: 4
Source: RefSeq, a predicted model, not a curated record